Molecule: ribosomal RNA, 397 nt
Filed under: uncultured bacterium
Lineage: Bacteria
Description: partial 16S ribosomal RNA
Rfam family: Bacterial small subunit ribosomal RNA
Source: RNAcentral
AUACGUAGGGGGCGAGCGUUGUCCGGAAUGAUUGGGCGUAAAGGGCGCGUAGGCGGCCCGGUAAGUCUGGAGUGAAAGUCCUGUUUUUAAGAUGGGAAUUGCUUUGGAUACUGUCGGGCUUGAGUGCAGGAGAGGUAAGUGGAAUUCCCAGUGUAGCGGUGAAAUGCGUAGAGAUUGGGAGGAACACCAGUGGCGAAGGCGAAUUACUGGACUGGAACUGACGCUGAGGCGCGAAAGUGUGGGGAGCAAACAGGAUUAGAUACCCUGGUAGUCCACACUGUAAACGAUGAAUGCUAGGUGUAGGGGGUAUCGACCCCUUCUGUGCCGCAGUCAACACAAUAAGCAUUCCGCCUGGGGAGUACGGCCGCAAGGUUGAAACUCAAAUGAAUUGACGGGG